ACGAACGCUGGCGGCGUGCUUAAUCCAUGCAAGUCGAACGGAAAGGCCCUGCUUUUGUGGGGUGCUCGAGUGGCGAACGGGUGAGUAACACGUGAGUAACCUGCCCUUGACUUUGGGAUAACUUCAGGAAACUGGGGCUAAUACCGGAUAGGAGCUCCUGCUGCAUGGUGGGGGUUGGAAAGUUUCGGCGGUUGGGGAUGGACUCGCGGCUUAUCAGCUUGUUGGUGGGGUAGUGGCUUACCAAGGCUUUGACGGGUAGCCGGCCUGAGAGGGUGACCGGCCACAUUGGGACUGAGAUACGGCCCAGACUCCUACGGGAGGCAGCAGUGGGGAAUAUUGCACAAUGGGCGGAAGCCUGAUGCAGCAACGCCGCGUGCGGGAUGACGGCCUUCGGGUUGUAAACCGCUUUCGCCUGUGACGAAGCGUGAGUGACGGUAAUGGGUAAAGAAGCACCGGCUAACUACGUG
Molecule: ribosomal RNA, 467 nt
Filed under: uncultured bacterium
Lineage: Bacteria
Description: partial 16S ribosomal RNA
Rfam family: Bacterial small subunit ribosomal RNA
Source: RNAcentral